UACGUAGGUCCCGAGCGUUGUCCGGAUUUAUUGGGCGUAAAGUGAGCGCAGGUGGUUUAUUAAGUCUGGUGUAAAAGGCAGUGGCUCAACCAUUGUAUGCAUUGGAAACUGGUAGACUUGAGUGCAGGAGAGGAGAGUGGAAUUCCAUGUGUAGCGGUGAAAUGCGUAGAUAUAUGGAGGAGCACCGGUGGCGAAAGCGGCUCUCUGGCCUGUAACUGACACUGAGGCUCGAAAGCGUGGGGAGCAAACAGG
RNAcentral lists this ribosomal RNA (252 nucleotides) under uncultured bacterium. Its description in RNAcentral is "partial 16S ribosomal RNA". It matches the Rfam family "Bacterial small subunit ribosomal RNA", at positions 524 to 776 of the family's 1533-position model. The record is from RNAcentral.